This 483-nucleotide long non-coding RNA is filed under the name Chinchilla lanigera (long-tailed chinchilla). RNAcentral describes it as "lncRNA (ENSCLAG00000022446.1)". Lineage: Eukaryota; Metazoa; Chordata; Mammalia; Rodentia; Chinchillidae. The record is from RNAcentral.
AAGCGAAAAUGCAGAGAUGGAUGUCUUCUGAAAGAAAAAGUGAUGGAAGAUGGCUAAGACUGAAAAGUUUCACUUUCAGUCAAGUUAAAGUGAAAUUUUAAGGCUGACUUUUUAAUUUCUUGAAUUAAUUGGCAAAUACCUAACUUACUCUUCAGCGUGACUGCAAGUUCAAAAUUAGAGAGCAGAUUCAUUCAAAUUCUUCACCAACUGUUGUAAAUUUUCCUGCUGGUGGAAAAGAAGGGGAAUUCAUUUUCUCAAUGGCUACAUUGCUAGCCAUCAUCUGGAGCUCUCUGUCUAUAAACAUGAAACCAGAAACGUUGGCGGGAGGAGACAUUAACCAAUCCGCUACCAGGCUGGAUUUGCACAUCUGGCCCCCUCAUCUCCUGGAUCCUGCAGGUGGCGCUGCUCCAGCUGCCUGAAUGUUCAUGGCCGGGUCUGUAUCCACCUCUUCUGAUUUUUGAGAAAUUCAAUAGCCAUAAGUUA